UUCCUGAUCCAUAAUCUACGAUACUUAAAUUUGAGUACCCAGUCUUACUCCAAAAUAAAGAAAGCAAGUGGACACAAAGGUAUAGAUAGAAGCUUGGCUCUGACUUAAAAUAUAAUGAAGAACUAAAAAAUACACAUGGUUUUGAUGGAAAGAAGCGAGGGAAAAGAUGAAUGAAAGCUUACUUAGAAGAAGGGGAAGUAUAUUUUUCUUUUAUGGUAUUAUAGUUCCAGAUGAUAUCUUAAAAAGUCUCGCUAACACCAGUGUUGAAGGUUAAGAAAGAGUGAAAGCUUGGCUUAAUUUAGUUCAUAAAAUCUGGUUAAUUUGGUGCCAGCAUCCGCGGUUAAACCAAGACGAUUUAGUUAUAUGUGGUCGGUCAAAAGACAGUUAAACGAUAUGAAAGUUUGUUUAAUAAUUAUUUAGAAGUAAAAUUCGGAAAUAAUCUAGAAAUCUAAUUAUAGCUAAAAAGUUGAAGCUGUGACAACCCUGAGGGAAACUGGGAUUAGAUACCCCACUAUUCCUGGAGGUAAAGCGAUUUAGAUCUACCGGAGUACUAUGAAUUUAACUUAUUUAAAACUCAAAGAGCUUGGCGGUGUUUUAGACUCUUCAGGGGAACCUGUCUCAUAAUCGACAAUCCACGUUACACCUAACUUCUAUUUGCUUUCAGUAUGUAUACCGUCGUCGUCAGGUAACUUUUUAGAACGAAGAAGUUAGCGACAGAAUUAAUAAUAAAUUCAAACGUCAGAUCAAGGUGCAGCUCACGUAGAAGUGAGGAUGGGUUACAAUUAUAAAACUUAUAAAGACGGAUCAACGACUCGGAGGAGCCCUUGUGAAGGAGGACUUGAAAGUAAAAUGGAAUACAAGAACAUCUUGAAUUAAGCUCUGAAACGUGCACACAUCGCCCGUCGCUCUCGUUGAAAAACGAGAUAAGUCGUAACAUAGCAGAGGUAAUGGAAAUUGCCCCUAAAC
RNAcentral lists this non-coding RNA (966 nucleotides) under Drupina grossularia. RNAcentral describes it as "small subunit ribosomal RNA". The stretch from base 256 to 966 matches the Rfam family "Microsporidia small subunit ribosomal RNA". The record is from RNAcentral. Lineage: Eukaryota; Metazoa; Mollusca; Gastropoda; Neogastropoda; Muricidae.